AGAUCUCAAAAAUGGGAGACCACAUGCAAAGGAAACUACGUUUUCACAACACAUGGUUGGAGAGGUCAAAGAAAAUGUGAUGUAUUACUUUCAGUUUUAUCAUCAGCGGGACCAUCUGGGGCUAGUGGUGGGGCUCGAAGAAGGAAGAAGAAAAUAAAGAAGAGAAUCAGAUCCCCAAAGUAGAGAGACUGAAUUACAGCAAUGACCUCGACUUGCAUUUACUAGACAAGGACAUUGAGGCUCAGUAAGGUGAGAUGACUUGCUCCAGAUCACACAGGGUUGAAGCUGAAAUUUUAAUCUAGAGUCCAGUUCCAGAAUCUGUGCUUAUAAACUGUGCUGUGCUGUAUUUGCUUUAAGAAUAUAAGGGUCAUUUCCUGCUUGAAUAAUCAAGGAAGGCAUGAUGGAAAAGUUAGGGGCAUCAUAAAACCCAAAGACAAUUCUGAUCAUAUUUUUACUUCAACACUUCUACAGGAAAGAAAGCCUUCCCAUCACUAAUAGUGAGUUCUCUGGCAGCAAGCCUCAGUCAUUGCAGCAGGAAUACUGCUUAAAUAUUAUACUGGGCAGUGAUUGCAUUUGCAACCCAUUCUUGCCAAAGAGAAAUUCGGAAGCACACUUCAAGGAACUAAGUUCAGUGAUAAUCACACUUGAUUGAUUUUCAGUACUGUCACAGUUUGAGAACUAUUUAUUGCCCUGAUUUGCUCUUUUCUCUGCCCUGUAUUAAAGAUCUUGCAUGACAGUUGAUCCAUGA
Long non-coding RNA from Homo sapiens (human), 748 nucleotides. The record is from Ensembl. NCBI's taxonomy places the organism in Eukaryota, Metazoa, Chordata, Mammalia, Primates, Hominidae.